Molecule: ribosomal RNA, 280 nt
Filed under: Brevibacillus agri
Lineage: Bacteria; Bacillati; Bacillota; Bacilli; Caryophanales; Paenibacillaceae
Description: partial 16S ribosomal RNA
Rfam family: Bacterial small subunit ribosomal RNA
Source: RNAcentral
CUUCGGGGGCUAGCGGCGGACGGGUGAGUAACACGUAGGCAACCUGCCUCUCAGACUGGGAUAACAUAGGGAAACUUAUGCUAAUACCGGAUAGGUUUUUGGAUCGCAUGAUCUGAAAAGAAAAGAUGGCUUUUCGCUAUCACUGGGAGAUGGGCCUGCGGCGCAUUAGCUAGUUGGUGGGGUAACGGCCUACCAAGGCGACGAUGCGUAGCCGACCUGAGAGGGUGACCGGCCACACUGGGACUGAGACACGGCCCAGACUCCUACGGGAGGCAGCAGU